AACGCACGAGACCUGCGGACCUGCGGAGGGAUCAUUACAGGAAUCGCAAGAUCUCCCUGCAACCCUCGUGAACCUACCGAAACGUUGCCUCGGCGGGCGCCCGGCCUUGUGCCGUGAGCCCGCCGGCGGCCUACAACUCUGCCUCUAGCGUUGUCUCUCUGAGUACUAUACAAAUUUAUCAAAACUUUCAGCAAUGGAUCUCU
Molecule: unclassified non-coding RNA, 203 nt
Filed under: soil metagenome
Description: partial contains 5.8S ribosomal RNA, internal transcribed spacer 2, and large subunit ribosomal RNA
Source: RNAcentral